UACGGAGGGUGCAAGCAUUGAUCGGAAUUACUGGGCGUAAAGGGCGCGUAGGCGGCAAAAUAAGUCAGAUGUGAAAUUCCACGGCUCAACCGUGGAGCUGCAUUUGAAACUGUUUAGCUAGAGCAUAGUUAGGGAAAACGGAAUUCCACAUGUAGCGGUGAAAUGCGUAGAUAUGUGGAGGAACACCGGUGGUGAAGACGGUUUUCUGGGCUAUAGCUGACGCUGAGGCGCGAAAGCUAGGGGAGCAAACAGG
Molecule: ribosomal RNA, 253 nt
Filed under: uncultured bacterium
Lineage: Bacteria
Description: partial 16S ribosomal RNA
Rfam family: Bacterial small subunit ribosomal RNA
Source: RNAcentral